AGCAGCCGCGGUAAUUCCAGCUCCAAUAGCGUAUAUUAAAGUUGUUGCAGUUAAAAAGCUCGUAGUUGAAUUUCGGGAUCAAUAUGUUGGUCGUGCCUUGGUACGUACUGGCAUUAUCGAUUCCUACCUUCUGAAGAACCUCGAUGUCAUUAAUUUGGUGUCUUGGGGAAUCAGGACUGUUACUUUGAAAAAAUUAGAGUGUUUAAAGCAGGCUCGCGCUUGAAUACAUUAGCAUGGAAUAAUGAAAUAGGACGUUUGAUUCUAUUUUGUUGGUUUCUAGGAUCGACGUAAUGAUUAAUAGGGAUAGUUGGGGGCAUUAGUAUUCAAUUGUCAGAGGUGAAAUUCUUGGAUUUAUUGAAGACUAACUACUGCGAAAGCAUUUGCCAAGGAUGUUUUCAUUAAUCAAGAACGAAAGUUAGGGGAUCGAAGACGAUCAGAUACCGUCGUAGUCUUAACCAUAAACUAUGCCGACUAGGGAUCGGAUGAUGUUAAUUUUUAAUGA
This 502-nucleotide ribosomal RNA is filed under the name uncultured Glomus. RNAcentral describes it as "SSU rRNA". It matches the Rfam family "Eukaryotic small subunit ribosomal RNA", at positions 569 to 1074 of the family's 1831-position model. The record is from RNAcentral. Lineage: Eukaryota; Fungi; Glomeromycota; Glomeromycetes; Glomerales; Glomeraceae.